UAGUGGCGGACGGGUGAGUAACGGAAUCUGCCCUCAGGAGGGGGAUAACGGUUGGAAACGACCGCUAAUACCCCAUAUGCCGAGAGGUGAAACGAAAUUCGCCUGAGGAUGAGCCCGCGUCUGAUUAGCUAGUUGGUGGGGUAAAGGCCUACCAAGGCAUCGAUCAGUAGCUGGUCUGAGAGGAUGAUCAGCCACACUGGGACUGAGACACGGCCCAGACCCCUACGGGAGGCAGCAGUGGGGAAUUUUCCGCAAUGGGCGCAAGCCUGACGGAGCAACGCCGCGUGAGGGAUGAAGGCCUCUGGGCUGUAAACCUCUUUUCUCAAGGAAGAAGAACUGACGGUACUUGAGGAAUAAGCCACGGCUAA
RNAcentral lists this ribosomal RNA (368 nucleotides) under uncultured bacterium. RNAcentral describes it as "bacterial SSU rRNA". It matches the Rfam family "Bacterial small subunit ribosomal RNA", at positions 93 to 500 of the family's 1533-position model. The record is from RNAcentral.